This is a long non-coding RNA of Poeciliopsis prolifica (blackstripe livebearer), 848 nucleotides long. RefSeq lists it as uncharacterized. The record is from RefSeq and is a predicted model, not a curated record. The transcript has 4 exons. Lineage: Eukaryota; Metazoa; Chordata; Actinopteri; Cyprinodontiformes; Poeciliidae.
AGAAACAUGAAAUAAAGAAAAGACUUGACAGAAAAAAAACAUGGCGGAAAAGUGGUUGUUAUACCCGGACCAUAAAGAGGGACGGACAAUGACUGAAAAAUUAGAAGUGGCAGGCAAGGCAACACAAAGCAAACAAACAAACAAACAAACAAACCCGGGAGUUUGGUGUAACCUUUGAACAUCUGCCUGAUACAUCUCCAAACAAGCAGAGAGACAGUCGGUCCGUCCCUGCUUCUGGACCAUCUGUGAGAGCAAUGUUCUAACAUUGGUAACUAGAUGGGGGAUAAACGGAGACAAAUACUUGGUCCUUUGAGUGGAAUCCAGUUGAUAAAAAACAUGCGUUUUCAAGAGGGGAAACUGCACAAAGUAAAGGAGACCAUCAUGCGUCUCUUUCUGUCAGAGCUCUGUAGUCCUGCAGAGUCUCCAGGGGAUGGGAUUAUAGGAGUCCACGGUACGCAGCUAUGCUAAGCCUGCAUAGGAGAAGGUCAAGGGGAGAGCAGAAAAGUCCGCGCCGCCGCCGCUGCUGCUGCAGGGAGCUGUCGGUGGUGCUGCUCUCCUCCUUAGCUUCCUCUGCGCGCACCACCUCCCUUUCCCGACAGAGUUGGGUGGUGUCUUCUUCUCUCUCCUCUGCUGUGCUGUCCCCCCUCCUCUUCCUCUGGUUCACACAUUCAUACAUGCACACAUGCACGUUCUGUAAAAAAUAAAAAAAUAAAAAUGUUGCAUUUUCUUUGAUAUUUAUCACACUUGCUUUCCUAUAUGUAUAAUGCAUGAAGGCCGUGCCGUUGCAGUAAAAUGAGCAUACUUGUUUAUGUGUCAAAUUUAAAGUUUUCGGGAUUUCAUAGCCAGUA